This is a long non-coding RNA of Castor canadensis (American beaver), 483 nucleotides long. RefSeq lists it as uncharacterized. NCBI's taxonomy places the organism in Eukaryota, Metazoa, Chordata, Mammalia, Rodentia, Castoridae. The record is from RefSeq and is a predicted model, not a curated record.
AAAGAAGGUGCAAAUAGACCUUGAAGGCCUGUAGGCCCCGGCAUGGGCAGAUGUGGGGAACAAAUAAGAGAGGGCGUGGGGACCCCAAAUUCCAGUUUCCUUACUUCCUGUGAAAGCAUCAAAGAAGAAAUUAACAAGUCCAUAGGAUCAAUUUGCCCCAGAUCACAAAGCAAGGCUUCAUUCAUUUGGUAAACAUCAGAGCACCACCAUGAAACUCCAAGACUUCAGUUGAAGCAGAUUUCACACAAGGUGGAAACUGAGGCAUGGGAUACUUACAUAACUUGCUCAAGACCAAGCAGUUUCCAAGUCAGUCCAGUAGACAAAGUUCGCCUGGAGCAACCGCGCCCUGAAAGUGCUUCAUCUGCAUUGAAAUAUGUGAGUUCCCUAACUCUCCUUUCUCUCCGGUAAACCUGUGAAGGAAGGGGCCAUGGCACUGAAGACCUUACUGGGGAAGUGGUGAAACUGGCCUCCUCCCUCAGCCCC